GGGGGGGGGGGGGGGGGGGGGGGGGGGGGGGGGGGGGGGGGGGGGGGGGGGGGGGGGGGGGGGGGGGGGGGGGGGGGGGGGGGGGGGGGGGGGGGGGGGGCCCGGUCCCCCCCAGGCCCCCCCACAGGAUCCCCACGGAAUCCCCCGGCCGGACCCGCCGCCGCCGCCGCUCACCUGACCACGCCCCUCUAUUAUUAUGCAAACGAGGCUCCCGCCGCACCGUCCCCGAUUGGCCGCUCGGCGCCGACUCGUUGAGCGCAGCCGCAUGCUGAUUGGCUGAAUGUGAUGACGUCAGAAGGAAGCGGCGGAAGGGGGGGAGGAGCUGGCGGGCGCGGCGCGCGCGCGCGGCUGGCAGCCCGACCAAUCAGCAGCCAGUGUGGGGACGAGGAAGUGUGGAGAGGGCAGCGCCUUAAAGGGGCAACGUCAUGGUGGUGUGCCCACCGCCCCGCCCCAUUCCAGUGACCCCAGUGUCUUCCCAUCGCUCCCAGUAACCUCAGUGCCCACCUCAGAGCUGAUCCACUGAUUCAGCUGCCCUCCCCCACCGCUCCCAGCAGCCCCAAUACCCACCCGGCAGGGGGGACAUGUAGGACAGUACAGGGGGACACGUGGGACAGGGCACCAGGCAUCGGGGCCUGGGGGUCUGUGGAGCUGCUUGGCAGAUAGACUGCAACUUUGGGAAAGGGGAGGGAGAGGCCAGGCAGGCCGGACUGCCCCACGUAGGGUCCCUACACCAGGCUGUGUCCCUGUGCUGUCCCGUCACAGCCGAGGGAAGAGCCUGGCUCUGGUGUCCCUGACUCAGCAGGGCCUUCCCAGAGCCCCCCAUGGCUGUGUGUCACCCUGUCAUGCUGUGGCUGAUGUCUAUGAACGUGGCAGAAGCACAGCUCUCGGCCAGCCCCACGGGAGAGGGGACAUGGAGACAGAGGGGGUGCCAGUGCCCGUGGGACAGCCAGAGCCCUCCCAGCCUAGGGGUGCCAUAUCACCUCGGGCAUGCAGCAGGGAGGGGUUAUCUGAUUGGUUAUCUGCACCUGGGGACAGUGAGAACCUCUUGGUGUCUGUGGGUGUGACACUGAGGGUCUGUCAUGAUGUCUUGAGGGGACAGAGCAGUGCCAGCGCUGCGCUGGGGAAGGACCUUGACUGGGGGGUGUCUGUGCUGGGUGCCAGAGGGAA
Molecule: long non-coding RNA, 1167 nt
Filed under: Ficedula albicollis (Collared flycatcher)
Lineage: Eukaryota; Metazoa; Chordata; Aves; Passeriformes; Muscicapidae
Description: lncRNA (ENSFALG00000027811.1)
Source: RNAcentral